UACGGAGGGGGCAAGCGUUGAUCGGAAUUACUGGGCGUAAAGCGUGCGCAGGCGGUUGCGUAAGUCAGAUGUGAAAGCCCCGGGCUCAACUGGGGAGGGUCACUCGAUACUGCUCGACUUGAAGGCAGGAGAGGGAAGCGGAAUUCCCGGUGUAGUGGUGAAAUGCGUAGAUAUCGGGAGGAACACCAGUGGCGAAGGCGGCUUCCUGGACUGUUCCUGACGCUGAGGCGCGAAAGCGAGGGGAGCAAACGGG
This 253-nucleotide ribosomal RNA is filed under the name uncultured bacterium. Its description in RNAcentral is "partial 16S ribosomal RNA". It matches the Rfam family "Bacterial small subunit ribosomal RNA", at positions 524 to 776 of the family's 1533-position model. The record is from RNAcentral.